RNAcentral lists this ribosomal RNA (510 nucleotides) under uncultured bacterium. RNAcentral describes it as "partial 16S ribosomal RNA". It matches the Rfam family "Bacterial small subunit ribosomal RNA", at positions 28 to 507 of the family's 1533-position model. The record is from RNAcentral.
GACGAACGCUGGCGGCGUGCUUAACACAUGCAAGUCGAACGAAGGGCGAUGGAAGCUUGCUUCUAUCAAUCUUAGUGGCGAACGGGUGAGUAACGCGUAAUCAACCUGCCCUUCAGAGGGGGACAACAGUUGGAAACGACUGCUAAUACCGCAUACGAUCUAAUCUCGGCAUCGAGGAUAGAUGAAAGGUGGCCUCUACAUGUAAGCUAUCACUGAAGGAGGGGAUUGCGUCUGAUUAGCUAGUUGGAGGGGUAACGGCCCACCAAGGCGAUGAUCAGUAGCCGGUCUGAGAGGAUGAACGGCCACAUUGGGACUGAGACACGGCCCAGACUCCUACGGGAGGCAGCAGUGGAGAAUCUUCCGCAAUGGACGAAAGUCUGACGGAGCAACGCCGCGUGAGUGAUGACGGCCUUCGGGUUGUAAAGCUCUGUUAAUCGGGACGAAAGGCCUUCUUGCGAAUAGUGAGAAGGAUUGACGGUACCGGAAUAGAAAGCCACGGCUAACUACGUG